Molecule: transfer RNA, 86 nt
Rfam family: tRNA
About the family: Transfer RNA (tRNA) molecules are approximately 80 nucleotides in length. Their secondary structure includes four short double-helical elements and three loops (D, anti-codon, and T loops).
GCGCCAUUUGUUUAGUGGUUAGAAUAUUCGCUUCCCAUCUUGUCUUGGAUCAGCGAGGGACCCGAGUUCGAAUCUCGGAUGGCGCA